This 270-nucleotide ribosomal RNA is filed under the name uncultured soil bacterium. Its description in RNAcentral is "partial 16S ribosomal RNA". It matches the Rfam family "Bacterial small subunit ribosomal RNA", at positions 26 to 285 of the family's 1533-position model. The record is from RNAcentral.
AGAAUCAACGCUGGCGGCGUGCCUAACACAUGCAAGUCGAACGCGAAAGCCCCGCAAGGGGUAAGUAGAGUGGCAAACGGGUGAGUAACACGUGGGUGACCUGCCUUCGAGUGGGGGAUAACGUCCCGAAAGGGACGCUAAUACCGCAUAAUAUCCUGCCUUUUAAGAGGUGGACAUCAAAGCUGGGGACCGCAAGGCCUGGCGCUUGAAGAGGGCCCGCGCCUGAUUAGCUAGUUGGUGGGUAAUGGCUCACCAAGGCAUCGAUCAGUA